AGCGAACGCUGGCGGCGUGCUUAACACAUGCAAGUCGAACGGAAAGGCUCCAGCUUGCUGGAGUACUCGAGUGGCGAACGGGUGAGUAACACGUGGGUGAUCUGCCCUGCACUUCGGGAUAAGCCUGGGAAACUGGGUCUAAUACCGGAUAGGACCGCACUUUGGUGUGUGUGGUGGAAAGGUUUUUCUGGUGUGGGAUGAGCUCGCGGCCUAUCAGUUUGUUGGUGGGGUAAUGGCCUACCAAGACGGCGACGGGUAGCCGGCCUGAGAGGGUGGACGGUCACAUUGGGACUGAGAUACGGCCCAGACUCCGACGGGAGGCAGCAGUGGGGAAUAUUGCACAAUGGGGGAAACCCUGAUGCAGCGACGCCGCGUGGGGGAUGAAGGCCUUCGGGUUGUAAACUCCUUUCGCUAGGGACGAAGCUUUUUGUGACGGUACCUGGAGAAGAAGCACCGGCUAACUACGUG
This 468-nucleotide ribosomal RNA is filed under the name uncultured bacterium. RNAcentral describes it as "partial 16S ribosomal RNA". It matches the Rfam family "Bacterial small subunit ribosomal RNA", at positions 28 to 507 of the family's 1533-position model. The record is from RNAcentral.